CAGUGCUCUAAAAACCCAAAACCCUCCUUCCUGCACCAAGACUUAAGCCAUGCAUUGACCUCUCUAAUCUCCCGCUGCCUUUCCACUGUAGCGCGUGGCACAGGUAAUAUCUCAGAGAAUAUCACCUUGAAGGUCCUUUUCUUAAGUUUGCUACCUAAUUCCCUGAAAUCAUUCUUUAGGACCUUCCAUCUUCCUCUUACUUUAUCAUUGGUACAAACAUGGACCAUGACCGCGGGGUCAUCCCCAGCCCCUCCCAAUAAUCCAUCCACUCUGUCAGCAACAUGCCGGACCCGAGCAGCCGGGAGACAGCAAACUGUCCGG
Pelobates cultripes (western spadefoot toad) is the source of this 321-nucleotide non-coding RNA. NCBI's taxonomy places the organism in Eukaryota, Metazoa, Chordata, Amphibia, Anura, Pelobatidae. The record is from the annotation of a GenBank genome assembly.